RNAcentral lists this long non-coding RNA (7378 nucleotides) under Linum usitatissimum (flax). RNAcentral describes it as "long non-coding RNA (LUSI_LNC007788)". Lineage: Eukaryota; Viridiplantae; Streptophyta; Magnoliopsida; Malpighiales; Linaceae. The record is from RNAcentral.
AGAUACCAAACUGCUGAACAAUGAUAAUCCCCUGCUAGAUGAUCAAAAUUCGCGAAGAAGAAAGCUGAAAGGGGGGACCUUGUGACCAAGCUCUAGCAGGCAUUGGGAGAGAUAAUAUAUGUGAUUUUCCACACCACCAAAGUUGGGGUAGAAAAAAUCAGAAACCAUUAAUAUCCUAUGCUUGUUAGAUCCCAUCAUAUCACCUGCAACGAAGUUAGAUCUUCAAUCCGUAAGAAAUGCUACAUUCAAUUGGCAUGACUAAAACAUACAUGGAAAAUGCUUCACCAGAUUCCACCACUCUCCAGUCACGACUACGACUAAGAAGCUUGAAGAUUAGACAGAUUCAAGAUAUGAAGCAUUAGACCAUAUGAACAUGCAACAAAAUCUGCAACUAACCAGUGUGACAAUGGUGCAUCUAGAUAAUAUAGCAAACACUAUAAAGCUGGAUUGGAAGUUAUCCCAUAAAGCUCUACUUCACUGUACUCUUUUUAUCAAAUCCCUGAUUCUCUAUUCGCUUACAAGACAAUGGCAGCAAAUGAAACAAAAAUUGUUCAUGGCAUAGUAGGAUGAACACCUUCUGGGACUAUUUCAUCGCAUUCUUUCUACAGUCAAUUAAUAUCUUUACUCAACUAUUCAAAUAAUAUUUUGAAUGCGUGGAGUUUAGUUUGAAAAUUAACCGGUAUCGAUACCCACUUUCUACAAUUGCUGUCAAUUUGCAGCUCCGACGUUGCAGGCCGGAAGAGAUUCAGCUGGAGUUCACAACAUUUCACUAGUUUAGCGUCAACAGAUCAUUAUCAGUAACAGCGGCCGAUUGAUUGACCAACCUCGGUAGAGGUUUUUGGUGAUGGAAGAUUUCUAUGAACUUGGGAAGUUGGCGUCUGAGAGAACACAAAUACUCCUCCGGCUGAGAAACAGCUCUCGUUGUGAAAUGAACCCGUUACAAAUUACGGUCAAACCAGAUCCUAAUUAAAUAGGCCUAUUAGCUCAGCUGUUUAGAGCGGCGUGCUAAUAUCGCGAAGAUCACAGGCUCGAGACCUGUAUGGGCCAUGUUUUUUCCCUAUUUUUCAGAAGAAAUAGCCAUAGCUAUAUUGAACAUGUUCAUAGUGUUUUGUGGUAGCAGCCAGCAGAGCCUGCAAUCUGGGAUAGCUGCUUUCCUUCUCAAGUCCAUCGUUGAUCAAUUUGCUUGCUUCAUUCAUGAUCUGUCUCUUUCUCGAUAAUGCUCUCCGGCAAAUCAGAAAUCUGGGCGGUUCAUAGUGGGUUGCUGCAAGAAGCAAUGGUUUUAGGACGGAUAGGAAAGACAUACCCGUGUACUUGGGGUCAAUGAUUGCUUCAUUUCAUUCAUUUCUCUUUGGAUGGUAAACGAGCUGAGUACGAGCCAACCUUGGCUCGGCUCGUUUGGUUCAUGAGCUUAUUGAGUCACCUCGAUUGGAGCUUGCGAGCUGGAUUAGUUUGUAUAACUCAGAGAGUUGGCUCGUUUGAAACUCACAAAUGACUUGAUUUCUAGUACAUUUAUGUGCUUGCGAACAGACUCCAUACACGUCUAGAAAAAUCAAGAAUAUAAUAAUCAAUGAUGUUUUCAUUAAUAGUUAUGAGUAGUUAUGACUCAAGUCCAUUUUAGAAUAAUAUAAAUAUGUGAGGCGUGAGUUGAGUCUGGAAUUUUUUAGUUUAAUUUGUUAGGUAGCGUUUUCUAGCUCAAUUUGUUAGGUCACGUUUUCUAGCUCAAUUUGUUAGGUCACGUUUCAAGCUCAAUUUGUCUUUGAAACAAGCCAAGCUCCAGUACAACCUCGUUAGGCUUGCAAACAAGUUGAGGUCAAGCUCAUUAAGACUUGUAAACAUGUCACACUCGAGCUCAUUAAGACAUCGAGCCUAAGCUCAGCUCAGCUCGUCAACUGAUGCAAUCCGACAUGACUCAAAAACAUAAACCAAAACCCAGUAUAGCUUAUGCAUUUGUAUCAGCAACCAACAAUUUAUAAAGCACAACAGCAGUUGGCCAUGUAAAUGACAUUGAGUUCUUGUAAGAUCCCAAAAGGGAAUAAACAUUACAAACAAACAAAACGGAACUCUCAAUCGACAACAGGUUUGCUAUAGUAAGCCUCUCUAGCUUCAAGCACAUCAGGGGUGUAUCUCUUCGCCAGAAUCUCUACCUGUUCGCUAAACGACUUGUUCCUACCCUCACCAAGGUGUUUCACCAUUUCAUUCCACCUCUUUCGGCACACGUCUCCAGUCCUAUGUUCCAAAAGGCAGUCCCAGUCCACGUCUUCCAUGCAGCAAGCAUCCAAGGUGUAAAGCUCGUUCACAAGGAGGUAGUCGUCGGUGUCGAGCCAUUGCUGUUGAGCAACCAUCGGCGAAGCCAGCUGUUUAUACCAUUUCUCGCAGCAAGAGGCAAAGGUCCUCGUGUCAAGCUUAUCACUGAUCGCAGUCCAGCUGAUGUUGUCCCUCAGCAUUCCGUGCUUCGACUUCCUUUCCCCAAACGCCUUCAUCCGCAGAUCGGUGUUCACCAGUUCGUAGAAAGCUUGGUACUCGUCUUGAGACCAGCGUCCCGAAUUUAGGUUCUUCAGUUUCAUCCUUCGGAAGGCAUCUUUUACAUGAUGCCUGUGCUUUCCCAUGGCGUCGGCCAGAGGUUUCCAAUUUGUGCCGCAUUUUUCAUGAUACUUCAUCACAAGCUCGCGGUCUUCUUCUGUCCAUUUACGAGUCGAGUCCCUUUCGAAUAAGAUAUGAGCACGGUAGCGUACGCUUUCGUGUGGACGCCAAGGUAUGGCAGCGCAUAUUUCCAUCCAGCAGUUCCUGAGUUUUUUAUGCUUCCUACAGUUCAUAAUCAUUUGGAUACCUUCUUCAUCACCUAAACCCUUGGAAUUAACAUAAUCCCAGCAAGCAGCUUGAACCAACUUGUCCUCCUCAGGUGAGAAGCGCUUCCCUCUCACCAACUCCUUAUCCUUGGAAGCGGUCUCAUCAUUUGAAUCAUCGGAAUUGGGCAACACCUCCUCAUCUUCAGCAGAACUCACCCUAUCCGGUGUCGAUUUAGGCGGCGAGCUAUCGAGAGCAUCAGUAGCUGCAGAAUUUAUUUCAACCCUCUUUCCUACAUCAUUAGUUUGUGUCUUUGUUUUCCUCUUCUUGUCCUUCGUCCUGUCUAUUGAAUACUCUGUGUUUUCAAGUUCUUUUGUGGUAGCUUCAUCAUCUCCCACAGAGUUCUCCAGCAAUACAGGCUCCUGAACAAUCAGCUGCUUUUUCUUCUUAUCCUUCUUCUUCUUCUUCUUCUUCUUUUCCUCCUCCCCCUCCUCCUCUUUCUUCUUCUUCUUCUUUUCCUCCUCCCUCUCCUCCUCUUUCGUCUUCUCCUGCUUCUUUUCCUCCACCUGCUGCUUCUUCUUCUCCUUCUCCUUCUUUUUCUUUUUCUUCUUCUUCUCCUCCUUCUGCGACUCAGAAUUUUCAUUCAUCACCUCCCCUAAUUCGUGAUCCAUUACCUCCUGAUCAUUUCCAUGCUUCUCUCUCUUCUUCUUCUUCUUCUUCCUCCUCUCAUUUGGAGAGUCAAAAUUCCCAACUUCAAUUCUGUUCAAGGAGCCAACUCCAUGCUCGACCUCGCUUAGACCUAUUAAGGAACUAGAAUCAACCAAAUUAUCGCCCUUGACUCUCUUCCUUUUCUUUUUACUGUUCCCUUUGUCCAUUCUACUUACAAACUCUGUCGAUCCAGCCUCCCCAUUCACCAUUUUGUGCAAUGUAACAACCUCUUUCUGCUGAAAAUAAUGUUAAAAAAGAUGUCAUUCGGGAAAGGGAAAAUGAAACAGAACCCUACUAGGUGUAAGCCGUAAUGUUACACAAAUAUGUUGAACAAAUAUGUCACUAUGAAAUGUGAUUGUGAUGUAAGGACAUGACUGCAGAACCUAUUGGGUCUACAUUUUCCAAUAUGGAAGAAACCUCAAUCCACUGCAAAAUUAGUCCCAACCCGACCAAUUUCCUACAGUAAAAGCAAUCUAAGAAUUGGCACCUAGAUAGUCCACACCGAUUGGACUUGUAUUCCAGCUCUUAGAUGAUGGAUAGCAUCUCGUUUAAACGAAUAGGUUAGAUUUAGAGGAUUACAGCACAGAUGCAAAACAGGGAUAACAAAGUACCUGAAGGAAUAAGAAACCAAGAUUGAUUGAUUGAAGAUAAAACACUUUAACAUGCUAACUAUAAGGGAUAGCUUAAGAACUUACUUCUUGGACUCUUGCAACACAAACCGUUGCAGCUUGACGGAGAAAGUCAGAGAAGUUGAGAAUUAUGAGUACCGUACACGUAGAGACAAGAGUAUGGUAGCAUCCCUACAUCAAAGUAAUACUCUAAAUAAGAACCACUUGAAUGUUAACUUAUAUAUACGAGAGAGAAAAGAAUACAGAGUAAAUAACCUAGCAGUGAUGCAAAAAAACAAUUUUUAAUCACUGCUACUUCCAUAGAGAGCGACUAUUUUGAAGGGAAAAUCCAAUUACAUGCAACAGCAAUAACAAAUCAGGACCAACUAAAGUAAGGAAGGGACCUUUCGUGUAUAAGAAGCUCCGAUCACCAGAAGGGAGUUCAGUGGCUACACCGAGCGAGGAACUUAAAAGGGAAGAAGGAGUGGGAUCUGGGAGCCCGGGACUGAGAAAGCCUUCCUCUGAUCGGAGAGUCUCCCUCUUCUAAAGGUAAUUCGGAGAGCGAUGGGUGGGCAACGUCCACCGGUAGAGUAUCGUCGUGUGUCGGCGGUAACCUAAGAAGAGACGAGGGCAGGCGGGAAGAUGAUGAAAUGAUAUUUAUGGGUAGAAGAGGAAGAUGAUAAUUGAUGAUGGGCCGGGUCUGUAAUGGGCCAGUCCGAAAGCAAUCGGCCUAGAUGGCAACUGGCACUAACAGAGGCGGAGUUGGGUAAUACUUUAUACAGUCAUUUGUAUAUCUUGUAUGGGUAAAACCGGUAAAUCAUUUUUUAGAACAGGAUGGUAUCUGAUUAUUAUUUUUUAAAGAUGAUUAAAUUAUGUAUAAUGUGCCUAUCGGAAGUAUGAACUCCACAAACAGAACUGUAUGGGCCACAGGUCUUCGCUUAAUUGCGGCAACCUCGAUCCUUACUCAAGCAUACGGACAAGGGUAAAUAACAUAGUCACCAGAACAUAAUAAACAAAAAGUGCAGAAGCAAGACUAAAAAAAUUAGCUAUGGACAUUCAGGUUCAUAUUGGAAACAUCAUUAUCCUAGUCUUGUGACCAUCCUUCCUCCUGCUCUAGUUGAGAGGCCUUGGGACUAACGAGAGGUCAGUUGGGAUAGCAGAUCCUUAUCCUGGACUAGCCUUUCUGGUGUUUCAGAGUCUUCGUGCCGCCGUCUACAUCUAUCUCCAUUAGGUCUGAAGAUGACUCUUCACACCAACGACGUUUAAGGUCUCUAUCCUACUCCUAGCUUGCAAUACCUGGCUUGCAAUACCUGGAGCAUCGUGCACGAUGAUUGGAUACUGUGGAGGAGGAGUGUUUGCUGAUUUAGAGCUCCCGGUUGGGUGAUUUGACUUCGAUUUCAGUUUAGGCUUGUUGAAAUUUUUCAGGUUCCAUUGUGAAGCCUUUAGAGCUUGAGCUUCCUUCCAUGUUAAUGCCUUGAUCGAAUUCUCCUAGAGAAAAGGGAAGUCGAUCUCUGAGUAUUGAAAUCGAAGUGCACAUUUUUUUUCAACGUGUCCAAUCAAUCCACAAACAAAGCAGAAGACAGGUAAUCUUUCAUACUUAUACUGACAAGUAAUAGUCUUACCGUCAUGCAUAAUAACGUCUCGUUCCUUCAAGAGGGGUUUUCCGACAUCCAUAACGACCCGAAGCCUCAUGAAAGCAUUAGGGAAGAACUUUUGGUUCUUCUUGUCAUGGCCUUUAUAGGUGUCAGCCGAGCUCGCCAAUUCCCGUCCGACUGGCUCCGCAAAAUAUUCGAACGGCAAGUUAUGGACUUGCAACCAUAACUCCACGGUAUUGAGCAGGACCUAUUGUGAAGACUCAUCUCAUGGAGCUUCAGAAUGUGGUUGUCAGCAAACCAAUGACCGAAAUCCAUCACAUGACGGACGUCCAGUGGGUGAGCGAAACGAAACAGGAAGCGCCUAUCUUUCAGAGUCGUGAGCUCCACACCGGAUUCCGGCAACUACGUGUUGGGCAGGCUUCGCCGUAUUAGAGAUAUGUUGAGGCAGACCCAUCUGUGCCACUCGUACAAUUACGAGAGUUGUUUUUUUUGUGAUUUUCCUAGUUUCUCGUUGAUGGUGAGCUCAUAUUCUACAUCGUAUGGUCUCUCAACGUCGUUUCCUGUCAUCUGAUAUCCCGUCAUUUGCAUCCACGUGCGCCGCCUCCCGUGCCAAGUCCCUAGGUGUCAUGCACGCCAAAUUGGUGGUGGUGCGGGCUGCCCUGUGCUUCUUACCGAUGGGUGGAGGUUGAGUUUGGGGGUCUCCGCGGCGAUGGUAGUGGGUUGACGGUUUGGUGUGGGUUGACGGCAUUGAUCAAUUUACUUCUUGCUUCAAAUUCUUUGGCAGAAAACAAUUCAUUAGAUUAGAACUGGAAACCAGAGUGAUGAGACGGAUUAAGUCAGAUUCCAACAGAGUUACAUCUCUUAAGAAAUAAUGUAACCCCUUUAGACUUUAUAUAUUUGCAAUUAAAAAAAUAAUUUAACUUUUAGACUUUAUAUAUAGUUUUAAUAACUAAGUUUAACCACUCUAUUAUUUAUAUCGAAACUAUUUGUAUGUCUCCCCUCUAAAUAAACUUGGUAUUGUGUUUACAGAACCUAUAAUCAAAUAAUCAAUACUCAACUGAAGUUUGUGCAGUUAAUUGAAGGGAUUAACGGCCAAAAUGCACUAGUAUUAUCAACCGAAUAGAUUCACACUAGAUGGCCAUUUCCAUCAAUAUCAUCGCCGUUCUUCUUCUGUCCACAUAUCCCCUCUGAAACUUGAGAGACACCUGCACUUCAUUGUCCUUAUUACGUGUUACAAAAUGAAACCCAUGCAUCCAUGCAAACUGAAGAAUGGCGCAAGAACCCUUCCCCUCCAUUUCUUAUGUGGCGACCAUCCAUUUCACCAUCUCCCGCUAUAAAACACCCCCAUCACUUCACCUAGAACAUCAUCACUACUUGCUUAUCCAUCCAAAAGAUACCCACCAUGGCUAGAUCAUCAAGCCCUUUGCUUCUCUCACUCUGCAUUUUCGCCAUUCUCUUCCACUCUUCUCUGGGUAGGCAGCAAUUCCAGCAGGGGAACGAGUGCCAGAUCGACAGGAUCGACGCAUCCGAGCCGGACAAAACCAUCCAGGCAGAAGCUGGCACCAUCGAGGUAUGGGACCAGAACCGCCAGCAAUUCCAGUGCGCUGGUGUUGCCGUUGUAAGGCGCACCAUUGAGCCCAAAGGUCUUCUCUUGCCUUUCUACAGCAACACCCCUCAGCUCAU